UNUGUGUGUGCAUAGCUGGCUGUUGCUGCUU
This 31-nucleotide non-coding RNA is filed under the name Homo sapiens (human). Lineage: Eukaryota; Metazoa; Chordata; Mammalia; Primates; Hominidae. The record is from RNAcentral.